AUUGAACGCUGGCGGCAGGCCUAACACAUGCAAGUCGAACGGUAACAGGAAGAAGCUUGCUUCUUUGCUGACGAGUGGCGGACGGGUGAGUAAUGUCUGGGAAACUGCCUGAUGGAGGGGGAUAACUACUGGAAACGGUAGCUAAUACCGCAUAACGUCGCAAGACCAAAGAGGGGGACCUUCGGGCCUCUUGCCAUCGGAUGUGCCCAGAUGGGAUUAGCUAGUAGGUGGGGUAACGGCUCACCUAGGCGACGAUCCCUAGCUGGUCUGAGAGGAUGACCAGCCACACUGGAACUGAGACACGGUCCAGACUCCUACGGGAGGCAGCAGUGGGGAAUAUUGCACAAAGGGCGCAAGCCUGAUGCAGCCAUGCCGCGUGUAUGAAGAAGGCCUUCGGGUUGUAAAGUACUUUCAGCGGGGAGGAAGGGAGUAAAGUUAAUACCUGUACUCAUUGACGUUACCCGCAGAAGAAGCACCGGCUAACUCCGUG
RNAcentral lists this ribosomal RNA (490 nucleotides) under uncultured bacterium. RNAcentral's name for it is "partial 16S ribosomal RNA". It matches the Rfam family "Bacterial small subunit ribosomal RNA", at positions 30 to 507 of the family's 1533-position model. The record is from RNAcentral.